UCUGUCUUGAACCACUGUGCUCAGGGGAGAGCGCGAACGCAGUCCCCCACUACCAGAAAUUAUGCAGUCGAGAUUCCCACAUUUGGGGAGUUCGCAGACAUCUGCCCAGGGAACGUGCAAUGGUAACUGUAGACUGUAGACUCUCGUCCAACGAGAAGCCGCGAUUGUCUACAGUUUGCUUAGACCCUGGGCUAAUCGGAGGGAUGCAUUGUCUAAAGUUUAAAAUCAGGGCCAAUCAGCGCUGAGGAUUUUCCAAAGUUUCUCUUGCUCUGAAUGCUCAAUUUAUCGGGUCAGAAAGUUCAUCUGCUGUCGAGAUUAAUUCGUAUGUUAAAGUGAUUUUGUGUGGAAAGUUAUUUUUAUACUGUUAUAUUGAUGCACAGUAUGUUUUGUUCACGACAUGUUUGAAAUAUCUCACUUUUUGAGCAGUAUUCGUGAGGCUGCGCCUUCAGAAAGUACACCUGUUGUUGAGAUUUCGUGUGCAUUUUGUCUUUGUUCGUGAGGCUGCGCUGUCAGCAAGUACACCUGUCAUAGUGAUUUAGAGCGUAUUUUGUCUGUGUGCCUGACGCUGCGCUGUCAGACGUUCAUCCAUUACAGAGAUUUUGUGCGGUAAGUUAUUUUUAUUGUUACAUUAAUGCUAAGGUCACAUCAUGUUUUAAAUAUCUCAUUCUUUGUGCAGUGUUUGGUCUGUGCUGGUGACGCUGUGUCGUCAGAAAGUUCACCUGUCCUAGAGAUUUCGUGUUGUAGGUUAUUUUUAUACUGUGAUAUUACUUAUAUGUAUAUAUGGCUGCACAAAACCUGAAAAAGUUUAGCUUAUGUAUUAUUUUCAACGCUCGUGUCGGUUUGAUAGCUCCAUUCACAUAGUAAACAGUUGUUUCAUUAAAAUAUAGCAACCAUCAUGCUAAUAAAUAAAUAUCCCUUCAUAUACAGCAAUAUAUGUGACCAUGACAAUUAUUAUCAUUAGUUAUUACUAUGAGAAGUAAAGAACAUUUUAAGAUCUUAGCUGGGACAAAACAUAUGAUCCAUACCUGUACACAGUAAAAUCAUCAGAGUAAAAUUUACUCAGUUCAGAGAACAUUUGGUCCCUCUCUAAAUUGAGCAAAAUUUACUCAGCAGCAGAGUAAAGUUAAUGAGCCGAUGAUGAGUUUAAUUAAGUGAUGAUUGAGGACUGAUGAUGAACACCUGCUGUUAAUAUGCAGAAACA
Molecule: non-coding RNA, 1201 nt
Organism: Danio rerio (zebrafish)
Lineage: Eukaryota; Metazoa; Chordata; Actinopteri; Cypriniformes; Danionidae
Source: RefSeq, a predicted model, not a curated record